RNAcentral lists this ribosomal RNA (686 nucleotides) under uncultured organism. RNAcentral's name for it is "bacterial SSU rRNA". It matches the Rfam family "Bacterial small subunit ribosomal RNA", at positions 790 to 1487 of the family's 1533-position model. The record is from RNAcentral.
GUAGUGCACGCCGUGAACGAUGAGCACUCGCUGGUGGCAAGAUAGAGUCAGCGGCGGAGCGAAAGCAGUAAGUGAUCGACGUGGGGAGUACGGUGGGCAACGAUGAAACUCAAAGGAAGUGACGGGGGCCCGCACAAGCGGUGGAACAUGUGGUUGAAUUCGAUGAUACGCGAGGAACCGUACCUGGGCUUAAAUGUAGCCGGACGAUUCCGGAAACGGGAUUUCCUGAACGGCUGGUUACAAGGUGCUGCAUGGCUGUCGUCAGCUCGUGCCGUGAGGUGUCGGGUUAAGUCCCAUAACGAGCGCAACCCUUAUUCUUAGUUGCCAGCGGGUAGAGCCGGGGACUCUAAGGAGACUGCCACCGUAAGGUGUGAGGAAGGUGGGGAUGACGUCAAGUCAGCACGGCCCUUACGUCCAGGGCUACACACGUGUUACAAUGGCCGGUACAGAAGGCAGCAAACUUGAGAGAGGGCGCGAAUCCAUGAAAGCCGGUCUCAGUUCGGAUUGGAGUCUGCAACCCGACUUCAUGAAGUUGGAAUCGCUAGUAAUCGCGCAUCAGCAAUGGCGCGGUGAUACGUUCCCGGGCCUUGUACACACCGCCCGUCAAGCCAUGGAAGCCGGGGGUACCUGAAGUCCGUAACCGCAAGGAGCGGCCGCAGGGUAAAACUGGUGACUGGGGCUAAGUC